Molecule: unclassified non-coding RNA, 254 nt
Filed under: fungal sp.
Lineage: Eukaryota; Fungi
Description: partial internal transcribed spacer region
Rfam family: Eukaryotic small subunit ribosomal RNA (bases 1-46)
Source: RNAcentral
AAGUCGUAACAAGGUUUCCGUAGGUGAACCUGCGGAAGGAUCAUUAACGAACAAAUUUUGUUGCUUUUUUUCCUUUUAGGGGGGAAUUGAGCAAUUUAAAAUUUUAAACCCCUAUGUGAACAAAAAGUUCAAGAGAAUGACUGUUUUCCUAAUUAAGGAGAAUGGAAAAUUUUCAAGAAUUAUUAUAAACAAUUAUUCGACUGAAUGUUUUAUUAAAAAAAAUACAACUUUUAACAAUGGAUCUCUAGGCUCUC